UACGGAGGAUGCAAGCGUUAUCCGGAAUGAUUGGGCGUAAAGGGUCCGCAGGUGGCACAUCAAGUCUGCUGUUAAAGGACAGGGCUUAACCCUGUAAAUGCAGUGGAAACUGAAGAGCUAGAGUGUGGUAGGGGCAGAGGGAAUUCCUGGUGUAGCGGUGAAAUGCGUAGAGAUCAGGAAGAACACCGGUGGCGAAAGCGCUCUGCUAGACCAGAACUGACACUGAGGGACGAAAGCUAGGGGAGCGAAUGGG
RNAcentral lists this ribosomal RNA (253 nucleotides) under uncultured bacterium. RNAcentral describes it as "partial 16S ribosomal RNA". It matches the Rfam family "Bacterial small subunit ribosomal RNA", at positions 524 to 776 of the family's 1533-position model. The record is from RNAcentral.